GAUGAACGCUGGCGGCGUGCCUAAUACAUGCAAGUCGAGCGAACGGACGAGAAGCUUGCUUCUCUGAUGUUAGCGGCAGACGGGUGAGUAACACGUGGAUAACCCACCUAUAAGACUGGGAUAACUUCGGGAAACCGGAGCUAAUACCGGAUAAUAUUUUGAACCGCAUGGUUCAAAAGUGAAUGACGGUCUUGCUGUCACUUAUAGAUGGAUCCGCGCUUCAUUAGCUAGUUGGUAAGGUAACGGCUUACCAAGGCAACGAUGCAUAGCCGACCUGAGAGGGUGAUCGGCCACCCUGGAGCUGAGACACGGUCCAGACUCCUACGGGAGGACGCAGGAGGGUAUCUGGUGCAAUGGGCGACAGCCUGACGGAGCAACGCCGCGUGAGUAGUGAGAGCCUUCGGAUCGUAAAACUCUGUUAUUAGGGAAAAACAUAUUUGUAAGCCACUGUGCACAGAUUGACGGUACCGAAUCAGAAAGCCACGGCUAACUACGUG
RNAcentral lists this ribosomal RNA (497 nucleotides) under uncultured bacterium. RNAcentral describes it as "partial 16S ribosomal RNA". It matches the Rfam family "Bacterial small subunit ribosomal RNA", at positions 28 to 507 of the family's 1533-position model. The record is from RNAcentral.